GAUGAAGAACGUAGCGAAAUGCGAUAAGUAAUGUGAAUUGCAGAAUUCAGUGAAUCAUCGAAUCUUUGAACGCACAUUGCGCCCGCCAGUAUUCUGGCGGGCAUGCCUGUCUGAGCGUCAUUUCCACCCUCAUGCCCCUAGGGCGUGGUGUUGGGGAUCGGCCAAAGCCCGCGAGGGACGGCCGGCCCCUAAAUCUAGUGGCGGACCCGUCGUGGCCUCCUCUGCGAAGUAGUGAUAUUCCGCAUCGGAGAGCGAUGAGCCCCUGCCGUUAAACCCCCAACUUUCCAAGGUUGACCUCAGAUCAGGUAGGAAUACCCGCUGAACUUAAGCAUAUCAAUAAGCGGAGGA
Molecule: unclassified non-coding RNA, 348 nt
Filed under: soil metagenome
Description: partial contains 5.8S ribosomal RNA, internal transcribed spacer 2, and large subunit ribosomal RNA
Rfam family: 5.8S ribosomal RNA (bases 1-120)
Source: RNAcentral